CUUGGCAAAGAACACAAACAUAUGUAAUUAAAUCAGCCUGCUAAUUACAUGAGUGUUAAAAUGGUGUGAAUGUUGAAGAAAAUACACUUAAAACACACUUGGAUAAAAUAGAGUGGUUGUGGAGUAACUCAAAAGAAGCUGUAUGACAAGGGAGUGAGUUAUGGAAAAACAAAAACAAAAGAAAAGUGUCUAUAAGAGUGACUCAGGAGUGCUCUUGCACUGAUUUAUCAAAGUAAGUGAUUAGUAUAGAAAGAAAAUGAAAAUAAUUCAAUAAUGUGACAAGGUUUAAACAUGUAUUCCUCUUGUUAAGUUGGCUGUUGAGCUGUGGGUUUAUGCAAAUUAGCUGGAGUGAGUGAGUGACAAAGACACUUCCUGUGUGUGUGUGUGUCGGAGGCUUUCGGUUCAGUUCAAGAGAGAGCAGUGGCUGUUGAAGAGUAUUGGGAGAAAUAUAUAAUGGUAAAGUAUCAGGAUAUUUGAUUACGGUGGUCAGGUCUGUUCAGAGGGGCAGAUUUGGACAGGAAAUUUAUAAUUUAAGGAUGAUAUGUGGUUGAAAUUGGUUUUUAUCUUGUGCUGAAUGAAAACGGUCUUUGAUCUUUUGACGAGGUUUUUAGUGUGUUGAAUGGGUGAAGUUUAAGAUUGUUUUAGAUUUUUGAGGCUGUUGUUUCUAUUUCCAGAGAGGGUGUUUAAUUAAGACAUGGAUAUGUCUGAGAGGGGCACAAAAAAAAAAAAAAAAAAAAAAAAAAAAAAAUUUUUGUAGUAGUGCACUCAGGAAAAAACCUGUCAGGUGAUUUUGUUUGGUACUUUGAUGAGCUAAUAAUCAGCUCUCUUUUUCAUUUUUGUUCUAAGCAGGCCUGGAGGAGAGUGAACUGACGGCGCUGACAAAAUUACUAAGUACGAAGAUCAGGUGGGCUUUUCAGAUCACAAUUGGCGGCCAGUCUCUGUCUAAAGAAGGAUUGUAUCGAUUCAUUCCAGUCAAAAGUAUAGAGAACUAUUUUCCUGAAAAGGAAAAGGAAAUAAAACAACAAAUGAUUGAGCUCAUUUUGCUGAUGUGGAGCAUCUGAUGACGUGCGCAGAAGGCUGCAGUAUCAGCAAAAAAUAUCAGUCUUCAGUGGGGGAGAAGCUGAUUGCAGGCUGACAGGAAACGGUGUGCUUUUGCAGAAGCGAAACCGAAAGCAGAGCGAGUGCAAGCCAUAAUAAAGAGUUAGUAUGCAUUUAUCUUUGAUUUAAGAAGUUGUGCCUGUAUGAGUGACAUUUUCUACAGGAAGUGCACUUGAUGUUCCAGGAGAUAAGCGACAGCGGCGGGCUAACAGGAAGCAUCAGCCGUCGACACGAAGAUGAUGUUCUAUGUUAAAAGUCAUUGUGGUUUUGGUGUGACGUAAAUCUGCCUAGUAACAGAAAAGGGGGCUGUACAAUUCUUAACCCCAUAAAACAGUUGUCUGAAUAUGAGAAAGACAGUUCAACACUGAUUGGGUUGUUGAACUCACACAUGUGUUCA
Long non-coding RNA from Oreochromis aureus, 1495 nucleotides. NCBI's taxonomy places the organism in Eukaryota, Metazoa, Chordata, Actinopteri, Cichliformes, Cichlidae. The record is from Ensembl.